RNAcentral lists this long non-coding RNA (290 nucleotides) under Olea europaea (common olive). RNAcentral's name for it is "long non-coding RNA (OEUR_LNC007870)". The record is from RNAcentral. Lineage: Eukaryota; Viridiplantae; Streptophyta; Magnoliopsida; Lamiales; Oleaceae.
ACAAACAUAAAUUUCUUAUUUUGGUUCAAUUAGUGGAAAUAAGUCCAAUUUCUUGAUGGUUUGGUGUGGACAACUAUUUUUGGAAGCUUUUGAGUUAUAUGAAUCAAAUUUAUACUAACUUUUGGGUUUGAGUUUUGUGGGUGAAAACAUUCAGCAAGUAAUUGGGUACAAGAUUAAAAGCUAAAUACAUAAACCAAUUCAAGUGAGGAAUGGUGCAAACUGAUUAUGGUUUUGGCAUGUGCACUGUGGUUGAAAUUAUUGAAGUGGGACUUACCUAAUUUCAUAGUUUU